CACCCGAUAACUCUCACUUCUUCCUUCCCCAGGAUUUAAGCGUUUACUGUGGAAAGGGAUAUCGUAACUAUUGUCUUCAUUUCCCCUUUCCUCUCUUUCUCCUUCCAUCCCUAGAGAGUGACAGGAUUACGCGGUCAGAUCUGGGAAGUCUGUCUCGGGCUGAGCGAGCGCCAAUAGGCACCAUGAAAUGGAUCAAGGUGUCAAGACCAAGGGUAAAGAGGUACCUGAAGUGUCAUACUCGACAGGGAAGCAGACAGGGAGUGGCCAAAGAUGACAGGUGUCUCCAUGAAGGAUGCGGGGACCCAGGAGCAGACAGAGUACAGGACCCAAUGCAGGAUCCACAUUCAUUUCUCCUUAUUCAUCUCCAAUCUGGGAAAUACUCGGACUCUUUGAAGAAUUGUACCGGCCAGGUUUACUUAUUUAUUUUGAGAGCGAGAGAAAUUGUGAAUGGAGGAGGGGCCGAGAGAGGGAGAGAGAGAGAGAAUCCCAAGCAGACUCUGCACUGUCAGCACAGAGCCAGAUGCGGGGCUCGAACCCACCAACCAUGAGAACGUGAUUGAGCCAAUGUCUGCAGCUUAACCAACUGAGCCACCCAGGCACCCCUGCAGCAACCUUAUGACCAUGAAGGACAGAUAAAAGUAGUGGCAUUGCUCUUUACGUCUUUAGACUGAAGAAGCAAAACCAGUAACCAUUGACUUUUGAACAUCUUGCUGUGUAGGAAUACAAAUCCAUGUUGGUGGAAGCCAUUGUAGCCGGAUUCCUCCUACCUGUGUGGCUAAAAUAUUCCUGACUCACACUCCAAUAGACCAGAGAAGCAAAAAUUGCUCUUUGAUCUAUUCAGAAAAGCUUCAUCGAGAAGGGAGAUUGCAAGAUCAUUUUUAUACCAGGAGAAAUGAAUGGAGAUAUCUGCAUUAGAAGAAAUGGAAACUCCCACGAUUCAGUGCUGCUUUGGAUGCUGUUUGCAGGUGGGGAUAAGGACUGUGUUUGUGGUUGUUUCCCACUGGCAUGGUAGCCUCAGCUGACGUUUUCCCCAUCCAUUCAGCUGCUGUAGCCUCAUGGUCUAAAAACAGUAAGUACCACAUCUGAGACACAAUUACUGGGGCAUAAUCAUGCCCAAUGAACGAAUGGCACGGACACAUUGUUAUUCACGUGCUUUUAGGAAUAAUACUUUGUUUCUCUUUAUUUUUCACUGGGACCAUGGGAAGAUUCCCCAGAGGUCUGUGAUCCCUAACAGGCAGUCCAUUUUUUAUACUGCUGCUCGAAUCAUGUCCUUACAUAAAAGUUAGGCCACGGAGGCUUCCUGCUUCAAACCACUACCAGUUGGCAUUCAGUACCGAAAAGUAAUCGCCAUGAAGGUAUGGGCCCGCCGCUGUAGUCUGGCUCGUGUCUCCCAGACGAAGUAUUAUGGGUGUUCAAGUCUGUUGAAUUAUUAAUCAAGCCAGUAACACCUGCUUCAGACUUUCUAAUAUGAUGUAUUUGAUAUGAGCGUAUUCUUAAUAGAGACAUUUGGACUGCUUCUAAGUGCCUUGAAACAGGUGGAACAGAUAACAGUUCAGUCGACUGUGUUAUUUGACAUCAUGUAAAUUCACACUGUGUUCAAGUCAGUAAAUGGAUUUUUGUGUUCAGAAAUUACCUAGAACCUGCCUGGUAUUCACAUAACUGCCGCAAAUGAAGGGAAAAGUGUAUUUUUAUUGGCAAAGAGAAGAACUGCAUGAGUCUCGUGUAAGGAAUCCAAUUCUAAAGUGAAAUAUGAGAGCACGAGUCGUUUGCCUAGAGCCUGGGCCACCCAUACCUGUGCCGGAUCCUGCUCUUCGUCCCCAGGCAAACCGUCAACAGUGGUUUGGAGAUGGGUUUUGUCACACUUUUAUAAGCAAAGAUCUUUGCUAUUACAGGGAUGACUUUUUCAGGAGGUAAGUCUUCUUGGGUGAUACCGAAUUUUUCCCCACGUUCUAAAAGAGAGUGGGGCUCCAGUUACACAGAAUGAUUACAAACAGACUAACAACAAAGAGUUAUCCUCUAGUGUUGUUUUGUUCUUAUGACAAAAAAUAGGGUGUUUGAUCAUUCUGUUCUCUGAGGAAGGUGCCAAAGCAUGAAACCAAAAUAACUCACACCCUUGAACUUUGUAGAUAUUCACAGCAGACUGUUUUGCUUGACCACAUCCAUUUUACUGAUAUCUUUGGAUUCGUGUAGACACUGAUGACUAGAUUUUACUCGGAGGUACUUUGUUCUUUUCUCCCUUCCUGUUUUGCUAUGUUUUAAGAGGGUCUUACUCCCAAUGGGUAGACGUUGCAGAAUCUGCAGACGUUGCAGAAACCCUUCCAUUCUUUUUAGCUGUUCAUCCGUUUGUCGAAAUGUGAGGAUUAAGAACAUCAAACUUCAAAACUGUGUCCUCGGUAAUCAAAAAGUAUUGAAACUAUGAAAAGAUAAAACUAAAUUCAAUUUAUUGCUAGUGAUCGUACUUUUAGGACAUGACGAAUUCACGAAAAUAGAUGUAAUCUUUAA
Molecule: long non-coding RNA, 2502 nt
Organism: Prionailurus viverrinus (fishing cat)
Lineage: Eukaryota; Metazoa; Chordata; Mammalia; Carnivora; Felidae
Exons: 4
Source: RefSeq, a predicted model, not a curated record